This 546-nucleotide ribosomal RNA is filed under the name Saccharomycodes ludwigii. RNAcentral's name for it is "eukaryotic LSU rRNA". It matches the Rfam family "Eukaryotic large subunit ribosomal RNA", at positions 94 to 654 of the family's 3401-position model. The record is from RNAcentral. Lineage: Eukaryota; Fungi; Ascomycota; Saccharomycetes; Saccharomycodales; Saccharomycodaceae.
UGAGCGGCAAAGCUAAAUUUGAAAUCUGGCAUCUUUGAUGUCCGAGUUGUAAUUUGAAGAGGUUACUUUGGAGGCUGGCUCUUGUCUAUGUUCCUUGGAACAGGACGUCAUGGAGGGUGAGAAUCCCGUCUGGCGAGAGUUUCAGUUUUCAUGUAAAGUAGCAUUCGACGAGUCGAGUUGUUUGGGAAUGCAGCUCUAAGUGGGUGGUAAAUUCCAUCUAAAGCUAAAUAUUGGCGAGAGACCGAUAGCGAACAAGUACAGUGAUGGAAAGAUGAAAAGAACUUUGAAAAGAGAGUGAAAAAGUACGUGAAAUUGUUGAAAGGGAAGGGCAUUUGAUCAGACAUGGUGUUUCGUGCUUCUUGCUCCUUGUGGGCGGGGAGACUCACACGGUUCACUGGGCCAACAUCAGUUUUGGCAGCAGGAUAAAACUUUGGGAACGUAGCUUUCUUCGGGAAGUGUUAUAGCCCUUAGCAAUACUGCUAGCCGGGAUUGAGGACUGCGCAUUUAUGCAAGGAUGUUGGCUUAAUGGUUAAAUGCCGCCCGUCU